CUGCGCGCGCGCCGUUUCUGGCGGAUCCCCAGUGCGCGGCGCGCUGUUUACACCGGCGUGGUACUAGUCACGGAGCCGCACCCCUCGGAAAGCGCGGAGUCGAUGACAGCCACUUCACAGGCUCACGCGCUCCUAGUGUGGGCUUGAAGGGGACGGGGACCGAUUACCAAAGGAGAGCGCUGAGUACGGAAGACACAGGGCAGCCUUUGUCUUGGGUUUAGCGCUGAUGCGCUCAACCCUGAGUCGGGUUCACUGCAACUGUUGUGUCCGAUUUCGGUUCCCUGCAACCGCCCUCCUGGGCGAGAGAUGUCAUUGUGUUCCUGCGGCCAGCGGGACUGAGAGCUGGGACUUAAGACGCCAGGAGGGUCCUGCGCUCACGGGAAAUGUACCCCAAAAGAACUCUGAGAGAAUAUACUCAACUGUCCUGCUGUGAUUAAACAAGACUGCUGUAUUUUACCUGAGCUUGGCAAAGCAAGGAUAUGAACAAUUGUGCAGGUGGGCUACUCAGGGCGAGUGAAGAGAUAAGGCAUCCAAUCAGGGAUUGGCCACCUGCAGCCCUGCCAAUAUGCCCCUCCACCAGAUUU
RNAcentral lists this long non-coding RNA (584 nucleotides) under Homo sapiens (human). RNAcentral describes it as "non-protein coding lnc-TKTL2-1:2". Lineage: Eukaryota; Metazoa; Chordata; Mammalia; Primates; Hominidae. The record is from RNAcentral.